RNAcentral lists this ribosomal RNA (253 nucleotides) under uncultured bacterium. RNAcentral describes it as "partial 16S ribosomal RNA". It matches the Rfam family "Bacterial small subunit ribosomal RNA", at positions 524 to 776 of the family's 1533-position model. The record is from RNAcentral.
UACGGGGGGGGCAAGCGUUGUUCGGAAUUACUGGGCGUAAAGGGUUUGUAGGUGGCCAACUAAGUCAGACGUGAAAUCCCUCAGCUUAACUGGGGAACUGCGUCUGAUACUGGUUGGCUUGAGUGCAGGAGAGGAAUGCGGAAUUCCAGGUGUAGCGGUGAAAUGCGCAGAUAUCAGGAGGAACACCGGUGGCGAAGGCGGGUCUCUGGGCCGAAAUUGACGCUGAGGAGCGAAAGCGUGGGGAGCAAACAGG